UGGGGAAUAUUGCACAAUGGGCGCAAGCCUGAUGCAGCCAUGCCGCGUGUGUGAAGAAGGCCUUCGGGUUGUAAAGCACUUUCAGCGAGGAGGAAGGGUAGUGUGUUAAUAGCACAUUGCAUUGACGUUACUCGCAGAAGAAGCACCGGCUAACUCCGUGCCAGCAGCCGCGGUAAUACGGAGGGUGCAAGCGUUAAUCGGAAUUACUGGGCGUAAAGCGCACGCAGGCGGUUCGUUAAGUCAGAUGUGAAAUCCCCGCGCUUAACGUGGGAACUGCAUUUGAAACUGGCAAGCUAGAGUCUUGUAGAGGGGGGUAGAAUUCCAGGUGUAGCGGUGAAAUGCGUAGAGAUCUGGAGGAAUACCGGUGGCGAAGGCGGCCCCCUGGACAAAGACUGACGCUCAGGUGCGAAAGCGUGGGGAGCAAACA
This 427-nucleotide ribosomal RNA is filed under the name uncultured bacterium. Its description in RNAcentral is "partial 16S ribosomal RNA". It matches the Rfam family "Bacterial small subunit ribosomal RNA", at positions 355 to 774 of the family's 1533-position model. The record is from RNAcentral.